GAUGAACGCUAGCGGCAGGCUUAACACAUGCAAGUCGAGGGGUAUCACGCUUUCGGGCGUGAGAGACCGGCGCACGGGUGCGUAACGCGUAUGCAAUCUACCUUUUGCAGAGGGAUAGCCCAGAGAAAUUUGGAUUAAUACCUCAUAGUAUAGAACAAUCGCAUGAUUGAACUAUUAAAGUCACAACGGCAAAAGAUGGGCAUGCGUCCUAUUAGCUAGAUGGUAAGGUAACGGCUUACCAUGGCAACGAUAGGUAGGGGUCCUGAGAGGGAGAUCCCCCACACUGGUACUGAGACACGGACCAGACUCCUACGGGAGGCAGCAGUGAGGAAUAUUGGACAAUGGGCGCAAGCCUGAUCCAGCCAUGCCGCGUGCAGGAAGAAGCAUCUAUGGUGUGUAAACUGCUUUUGUACGGGAAGAAACACUCCUUCGUGAAGGAGCUUGACGGUACCGUAAGAAUAAGGAUCGGCUAACUCCGU
This 479-nucleotide ribosomal RNA is filed under the name uncultured bacterium. Its description in RNAcentral is "bacterial SSU rRNA". It matches the Rfam family "Bacterial small subunit ribosomal RNA", at positions 28 to 506 of the family's 1533-position model. The record is from RNAcentral.